AUGAGUUCUCACAGCGAGGUCACUGAAGAAGCAGUCAUCGUCGAUUUCUUUUCUUUCCCCUGGCCUUGGCCCUCUUCUGCCUCGCCUCCUCUUUCUGUCUCUCAGCCUCCUCCCUCUCAAACUUCUCGCUCUCCCUCUUCUGCAAGAAGUCCUGCACCGCCAGAUAGAUCACCUGCAUUUCCAGCAAAAGCAAGAACCAGAAAAGACCUUCGAAAUCAGCUCCGAAAUCCAAAAAUAAUACUGUCCAUCAACGCAAUUCGCUACUAUUCAAGGAGGAGCGAAUUGAUUCGACAGACAACAAAGAACAAAGGCGUCACGCACCCCGAUUGUGAGGAGGGAGAGCCCGACGAACGAGACCGUGAGCAGCACCGACACCACGGUGGCGGUGACGCUGUCGUCGUCGGCAGCCACCCUCAUCAUGGCCUCGGUUUGCUCCACCUCUUCGAUGGCGGCGGCAGGCGGGCGCAGCCUCCUGGCGAGGCGCAAGCGCCCGGUGCCUCCCCCGGCAUUCCUACCACGGCGCGGAGCAGCGACGCACCUCGAGAAGAGCGCUGGCCUGGGUAUCGUGGGUGGCGCGAGAGGGAGGAGGGGGAGAGAGCACGCUGCCGCCAUUAUCCCGUCCCUCGCGCCAGCGGAAGGAAAGGGGAUGCAAAUGAACGGUCGGAACGAACGGGGAAAUGGAUGGGCCAAUCCGGCGCGCAAUGGGCCCGUACCGGGCAGCGUGGAUGGGCCGAGGCCUGCCGCGUCGCCGUGCGCGCGGGCCCGCGCCGGGCGGCCGAGAGAAUUCCAGAGAAAUCGAUCCCCAUCGAGACGAAGGAAACCGAUGAGGACGCCACCGCUGUGUCCGCGCGGCCGGACCUGUCUGCAUUCGCCAGUUUGUUUGUGACACGCACUCGAAGAAGAGAAAGCCAACGAACGAGCGCUCACCGCACCGCACUCGACUAA
This 945-nucleotide ribosomal RNA is filed under the name Triticum aestivum (bread wheat). RNAcentral's name for it is "partial small subunit ribosomal RNA". Lineage: Eukaryota; Viridiplantae; Streptophyta; Magnoliopsida; Poales; Poaceae. The record is from RNAcentral.